Molecule: ribosomal RNA, 418 nt
Filed under: uncultured prokaryote
Description: bacterial SSU rRNA
Rfam family: Archaeal small subunit ribosomal RNA
Source: RNAcentral
GUGUCAGCCGCCGCGGUAAUACCAGCUCCCCGAGUGGUGGGGAUGAUUAUUGGGCCUAAAGCAUCCGUAGCCGGCUGGACAAGUCCCCUGUUAAAUCCAACGAUCCAAUCGUUGGUCUGCGGGGGAUACUGUCCGGCUUGGGGGCGGGAGAGGCCGCCGGUAUUUCCGGGGUAGGGGUGAAAUCCUAUAAUCCCGGGAGGACCACCAGUGGCGAAGGCUGUCGGCUAGAACGCGCCCGACGGUGAGGGAUGAAAGCUGGGGGAGCGAACCGGAUUAGAUACCCGGGUAGUCCCAGCUGUAAACGAUGCAGGCUAGGUGUUAGGGCGGCUACGUGCCGCUCUAGUGCCGCAGGGAAGCCGUUAAGCCUGCCGCCUGGGGAGUACGGUCGCAAGGCUGAAACUUAAAUGAAUUGACGGGG